GACGAACGCUGGCGGCGUGCCUAAUACAUGCAAGUCGUGCGGACCUUGUUGAAAGCUUGCUUUUAAAAGGUUAGCGGCGGACGGGUGAGUAACACGUGGGCAACCUGCCUGUAAGACUGGGAUAACGCCGGGAAACCGGGGCUAAUACCAGAUCGUUUUUUCCUCCGCAUGGCGGAAAAAGGAAAGGCGGCUUCGGCUGCCACUUACAGAUGGGCCCGCGGCGCAUUAGCUAGUUGGCGGGGUAAUGGCCCACCAAGGCAAGGCUGCGUAGCAGACCUGAGAGGGGGAUCGGCCACAUUGGGACAGAGACACGGCCCAACCUCCUACGGGAGGCAGCAGUAGGGAAUCUUCCGCAAUGGACGAAAGUCUGACGGAGCAACGCCGCGUGAGUGAAGAAGGCCUUCGGGUCGUAAAACUCUGUUGCCGGGGAAGAACAAGUGCCGUUCGAACAGGGCGGCGCCUUGACGGUACCCGGCCAGAAAGCCACGGCUAACUACGUG
Molecule: ribosomal RNA, 500 nt
Filed under: uncultured bacterium
Lineage: Bacteria
Description: partial 16S ribosomal RNA
Rfam family: Bacterial small subunit ribosomal RNA
Source: RNAcentral